UACGGAGGGGGCAAGCGUUGUUCGGAAUUACUGGGCGUAAAGGGCGUGUAGGCGGUUGUGCAAGUCAGAAGUGAAAGCCCAGGGCUCAACCCUGGAACUGCUUUUGAGACUGUACGACUGGAGUACGGUAGAGGGUGGUGGAAUUCCCCGUGUAGAGGUGAAAUUCGUAGAUAUGGGGAGGAACACCGGAGGCGAAGGCGGCCACCUGGACCGUAACUGACGCUAAGGCGCGAAAGCGUGGGGAGCGAACAGG
RNAcentral lists this ribosomal RNA (253 nucleotides) under uncultured bacterium. Its description in RNAcentral is "partial 16S ribosomal RNA". It matches the Rfam family "Bacterial small subunit ribosomal RNA", at positions 524 to 776 of the family's 1533-position model. The record is from RNAcentral.